This 1011-nucleotide long non-coding RNA is filed under the name Carassius auratus (goldfish). Its description in RNAcentral is "lncRNA (ENSCARG00000044717.1)". The record is from RNAcentral. Lineage: Eukaryota; Metazoa; Chordata; Actinopteri; Cypriniformes; Cyprinidae.
UUUAAACGUGUUAGUGUAUUAAUGUAACAUACUGUGGGUGCUGGUAGGUGAAGGAUUAGUGGUUCUUCACCACAGGACUUUUCUGUGAUGGAGCAUCAGUAAUGAUGCAGGUCAGGAGUACUGAGGGGACCAUGGUGAGAAUGAAAACAAAAGCCUCAAUCCUCAACCUCAGCCGUAUAAAUCUUUUGGAGAUUUUUCCCUCUACUCCACAGCAUGAUGGAAGCCUGCUGGAGAGUGACUGAGCUUCUUUCUCCAACACAUCCACUGCAUUGGGGAGCUCCAUGAGGAUUGUCAUCUGUUUGCCGUGUUGCAGUUUUGCAUUUUCCACAGAUGCUGGCAAAUCGGAUUAAUUUGUGGACAAUUUAGCCUGCGAGAUGGAAGAGAAUACAUUUCUCUGUUUUUGUGAGGAAGUCUGCCAAAAAACUACUGUCAUCUUCCUGGUAGCUCCCAGAGGUGAUGGUGCUGAAGAACUGACCUACGGAUAUGAUUCUCAGUGCAUGAUGGAAUUCCACUGGAGUUGGCUUCCAAACUCCCUUAUGACCAAUCUUCAUCCCAUAGAAUAGAUGGAUGAUAUCCUGUAGGAAGAUUAUGGCCUUUUCAUACUCCUCUAUCUUGACCCUGCUCAGUGCUGUAAUUGGAUGGCGAGAUGACAUAAGAUCAAACCAAUGAUCCACUUGCUCCAGGAACCACGCUGUAGUCAGGUAGGAGAGAGGGCGGUUUUCUUGCUGCACCAUAUACUUCAGUCCAGCACUUGUUGCCUUACUAAAUACAUUAAGAGCAGGACCAACCUUCAUUUUCUCAAAGUGGCUUGGCUCGAUGGCUGCAGCUGAUAGAUGGGGAGCUACUUUUAAUGCCAUUCCUUCUUGAAAGGACAAUAAGUCCUUAAUAGGGACCACUGAAACCUCAUUGGAAGGUAGGUUCUCUUUGUUAACCACAUUCUCUGGAAUUGUUAACACCUGUCCACGGACAAGGGUACUUUUUAGAUUUUUCACCAGAUGCGGGACAUCAGGC